GAUGAACGCUGGCGGCGUGCCUAAUACAUGCAAGUCGAGCGAACGGACGAGAAGCUUGCUUCUCUGAUGUUAGCGGCGGACGGGUGAGUAACACGUGGAUAACCUACCUAUAAGACUGGGAUAACUUCGGGAAACCGGAGCUAAUACCGGAUAAUAUUUUGAACCGCAUGGUUCAAAAGUGAAAGACGGUCUUGCUGUCACUUAUAGAUGGAUCCGCGCUACAUUAGCUAGUUGGUAAGGUAACGGCUUACCAAGGCAACGAUGCAUAGCCGACCCGAGAGGGUGAUCGGCCACACUGGAACUGAGACACGGUCCAGACUCCUACGGGAGGCAGCAGUAGGGAAUCUUCCGCAAUGGGCGAAAGCCUGACGGAGCAACGCCGCGUGAGUGAUGAAGGUCUUCGGAUCGUAAAACUCUGUUAUUAGGGAAGAACAUAUGUGUAAGUAACUGUGCACAUCUUGACGGUACCUAAUCAGAAAGCCACGGCUAACUACGUG
RNAcentral lists this ribosomal RNA (497 nucleotides) under uncultured bacterium. RNAcentral's name for it is "partial 16S ribosomal RNA". It matches the Rfam family "Bacterial small subunit ribosomal RNA", at positions 28 to 507 of the family's 1533-position model. The record is from RNAcentral.